GACAGAGGCCUCGAGCGUUAGGCGGAAUCACUGGGCUUAAAGCGUGUGUAGGCGGAAGAGUAAGUACCUUGUGAAAUCCCACGGCUCACCCGUGGAACCGCUGGGUAUACUGCUCUUCUUGGGCCACUCAGGGGCGACUGGAACAAGCGGUGGAGCGGUGAAAUGCGUAGAUAUCGCUUGGAACGCCGAAGGUGAAAACAGGUCGCUGGGAGUGCGCCGACGCUGAGACACGAAAGCCAGGGGAGCAAACGGG
RNAcentral lists this ribosomal RNA (253 nucleotides) under uncultured bacterium. RNAcentral's name for it is "partial 16S ribosomal RNA". It matches the Rfam family "Bacterial small subunit ribosomal RNA", at positions 524 to 776 of the family's 1533-position model. The record is from RNAcentral.